AGACAAAAAACACCUGAAGCUGGUGAUCAGCAGCUUCCCAUUAAGAUCUUAGGAGUUGGGUGAUUGGGCUCAAGCAUGCGCACUAAGAGGCACAGUAGUAGAGUUUAACUGGUAUAUGACCUUCCUCUAGGAACACUUGACUGGUAAGGGAAAAACACCUCAAGUGAGCAUGCGCACAACUUCAGUAAACACACUGCAUAUGUGGUGCCUCCCAAGUGCUGGCAGGCCACUGCACAUGCAGACAGCCCAUCCCAAGGGAAGAAUCAGAGAGAAGAGACAUAAAACCCUGGAAGCAUGCCAACAUAUAAAACCCCACGUCAAGGACUAAAUGGCACACUUGGAUCUCUCAAGUCACCUCCAUGGUCCUCUUCCAAGUAUACUUAACUCUCUUUCAUUCCUGCUCUAAAACUUUUUAAUAAAUAUUCACUCCUGCUCUAAAACUUGCCUUGGUCUCUCACUUUGCUUUAUGGUUCUCAUAUGAAUUCUUUCCUCUGAAAAGGCAAAAAUCAAGUUACUGCAGACAAAUAUGGAUUCAUCCCUGCUUACAUACUUUGGUGCUGUUGUUACCAAAACACCAGGGGUUCGGUCUAGGUCCUGCUACUUGCCACACAGAAAGCCAAGCCCUAAGAUGACAACUAUUGACAAGGAAGAAGGCUUUAAUCAGGUGCUGCAGCUGAGGAGAUGGGAGCUCAGUCUAAAUCCAUCUCCCUGACCCACUAAAACUAGGGGUUUAUAUAGAAGGGAAGAAAUGUAACAAUGUAAGAGAACAGGAACUAGGGAGGGGCAAGGAAGCAAUAAUGUUGAAUGAUAGGUCCUGGCAUCUGAUUGUCUGGAUGUGGUAAUCUGGUGAAUUUUAGUUCCUUGAUAUUUUUUUUUUGAGAGGCCUGAAAGUUGUUUCCUGAGGAAGGAACUCAGAUAAAACAAAUAUAAGUUUUAAGUUUUAAGACCAAAAGUGUCAAUUCCUAUGUUUAUCAAGAAGAACUGUCUAUGGGACAAUUGGGUCAGGUUCACCAUGACUGGGAUACUGCAUGGGAUGGGUUUGUGAGAGCACCAGGUAUCCUAAGGGAAACUUUGGAGGGAACCAGCUACCAGAUGGUUUGAUUAGUCUUUUUUCCUAUACCCAGGUUGGACACCUAAUUUGCACAUCAGGACUGCCAUGGACCAUGGUGCAAUGAAGGUGAAGACUGGAGCACUCAUCACCCACGGGUCUCACUUUGUUGCCCAGGCUGGAGUAUAGUGCCCUGAUCACAGCUUGCUGCAACCUCAAGCUCCCAUGCUCAAGCAAGCUUCCUGCCUCAACUUCCCAAGUAGCUGAGACCACAGGCAUGCUCCAUGACACCUGAACUCCUGAACUCAAGCGAUCCUCCUGCCUCAGCCUUCCAAAGUGCUGGGAUUACAGGCAUGAGCCCCUGAACCCUGCCUACCCUCUGUUUCUAUGUGGUGUUUGUCUUUCUAAGCCUGGCCUAUUUCGUGUAACAUAAUUUCCUCCAGAUUUAUCCAUAUUGUCUCAAAUGACCAGAUUUCUUUCUUUUUUAAGGCUGAAUAGUAUUCCAUUGUACAUAUAUACUACAUUUUAUUUAUCCAUUCAUCUGUUGAUGGACACUUAGGUUGAUUCCAUAUCUUGGCUAUUGUGAAUAAGCUGCAAUGAACAUAGGAGUGCAGAUACUGCUUUGACAUAUUCAUUUCAUUUUCUUUGGAUAUGUAUCCAGAAGUGGAAUUGGGCUGGAAUAUAGGCAGUUCUAUUUUUAAUAUUUUGAGGAAACUCCAUAUUACUUUCCAUAAUAGCUGUGCUAAUUUACAUUCCCACCGCCAAUGUAUAAGGGCUUCCUUUUCUCCACAUCCUCUCCAACACUGGUUAUCUCUUGUCUUUUUGAUAUGUUUUCUCUUCUCUGUAAAGCUAUUGGUUGUAGCAUUUUACUUUUUCCAAAUUUUUUUAAUCAAACUUUUGAAAUGUAUAGCUGAAAUGAAAGAAUUUUAGCAUGAAUGCUAAUAUACACUCAGCACCUAUAUUCUUGCUUUUUCAUGUAUUUACUCCUGAAUUAAUAUAUUACUUGUUAUAUGCUUUUGAAAGUAAACUGCAAACAAGUGCAUGCUUCUCCUAGAUCUUUCCACAUGCUCUGC
This is a long non-coding RNA of Homo sapiens (human), 2121 nucleotides long. Ensembl annotates it as C8orf34 antisense RNA 1. Its record names the gene C8orf34-AS1. NCBI's taxonomy places the organism in Eukaryota, Metazoa, Chordata, Mammalia, Primates, Hominidae. The record is from Ensembl.